RNAcentral lists this ribosomal RNA (433 nucleotides) under uncultured bacterium. RNAcentral describes it as "partial 16S ribosomal RNA". It matches the Rfam family "Bacterial small subunit ribosomal RNA", at positions 29 to 507 of the family's 1533-position model. The record is from RNAcentral.
AACGAACGCUGGCGGCAUGCCUAACACAUGCAAGUCGAACGAGACCUUCGGGUCUAGUGGCGCACGGGUGCGUAACGCGUGGGAACCUGCCCUUAGGUUCGGAAUAACUCCCCGAAAGGGGUGCUAAUACCGGAUAAUGUCUUCGGACCAAAGAUUUAUGGCCUUUGGAUGGGCCCGCGUUGGAUUAGCUAGUUGGUAGGGUAAAAGCCUACCAAGGCGACGAUCCAUAGCUGGUCUGAGAGGAUGACCAGCCACACUGGGACUGAGACACGGCCCAGACUCCGACGGGAGGCAGCAGUGGGGAAUAUUGGACAAUGGGCGAAAGCCUGAUACAGCAAUGCCGCGUGAGUGAUGAAGGCCUUAGGGUUGUAAAGCUCUUUUACCCGGGAUGAUAAUGACAGUACCGGGAGAAUAAGCUCCGGCUAACUCCGUG